Nanorana parkeri is the source of this 314-nucleotide long non-coding RNA. RefSeq lists it as uncharacterized. NCBI's taxonomy places the organism in Eukaryota, Metazoa, Chordata, Amphibia, Anura, Dicroglossidae. The transcript is spliced from 4 exons. The record is from RefSeq and is a predicted model, not a curated record.
GCUGCAGGAAGGAGUGAUCUGAAAUAGGAGGCUGGUGACGUCACUGGAAGAUUAAAAACGAGGAUUACAGGAAAAGUGGUAAAGGGAAAUGUCUCAGGGACCUGCUGUAGACUUUGACCUUAUGAAUGCACUGGACUGGAGCAACGGUAUCGCGACCCUUCCUGGAAGUGAAAUACGGUUUCGGCUCUGUGAGUUUGGCACCUUGGAAAUUAUUACAGAUUCUGACACUACUAUCGCUCCUCCUAAUGGCCACAUUCAAGAAAAAUGCCUUACAAGCACCAUUUGCCCACCCGCUAUACAGGAGAGUAAAGGCA